Long non-coding RNA from Chenopodium quinoa (quinoa), 451 nucleotides. RefSeq lists it as uncharacterized. The record is from RefSeq and is a predicted model, not a curated record. Lineage: Eukaryota; Viridiplantae; Streptophyta; Magnoliopsida; Caryophyllales; Amaranthaceae. The transcript has 2 exons.
GCGCUCAAUCUAACGGCCCAUAUUCCACCUGCCUCAUUAAGGGCAGUUUUGUAAUUUCAUGCAUUGAAUGACCUUUGUUCUCACUCCUAACGCUGCUUCAUUUUCUUUCUCUCUCUUCAUUAUAUUUUCUCUCUCCUCCUUCAAAUUCUCUAUUUCGAUUUCACCAAUCUUUUGCGAAUUCUCACGUCGAAGGCAAAUUAAAGGUUUGGAGGAUAUAGAGAAGUUGGUGGAUCGAGUUAGGAGCUUAGAGGAAGGUUCUGUAAUGGAUACUGCGAUUUAUUAUCUACUCCAUGGGUCGUUGCCCCCAGAGUUACAUGUUUCGUUUUUAUAGUUUCUUGGUUGAUUUUUAUGGUUAGAUUACUCCAUAUAUAUUGAAAUGUAUUGAUGAACUAUUGAUGUUAACUUUGGUUGAAAUUUAUUGAUGUAUGGGAUUGAUUGUACUUUCUGGUUC